This is a long non-coding RNA of Pieris brassicae (large cabbage white), 338 nucleotides long. RefSeq lists it as uncharacterized. NCBI's taxonomy places the organism in Eukaryota, Metazoa, Arthropoda, Insecta, Lepidoptera, Pieridae. The transcript has 3 exons. The record is from RefSeq and is a predicted model, not a curated record.
GAAGAAUGAUCGCUGUUUUUGUGUUUGGCAUUGCGAUUGCGUUUGUUUAGGUGACGAUCCGAAAUUAAUAUGCCGAGAUAUGUCUGAAAUGGAUGUUCUAGCAGCUGGUUUUUCUCCUCAUGAAGGAAGAAGACGCGUGCGGUCGGCAUGCUAUCCCGAUGAUGUGAUAAUUAACAUGUCUAUUAUUUUUGUAGGCAUUUUAUUUUUAUUACUUCUGUUUGGGUUAUUAAAGGCCUGUCUUGGUAUAAUUCUGCCAUGUGUUGGCUUAAUGGGAAUGGAAUAUAUACUAAAGAUCCCACGAAAGCUGGACCAGUACUAUGAAGGUUCUUUGAGAGGUC